GAUGAACGCUGGCGGCGUGCCUAAUACAUGCAAGUCGAGCGAACGGACGAGAAGCUUGCUUCUCUGAUGUUAGCGGCGGACGGGUGAGUAACACGUGGAUAACCUACCUAUAAGACUGGGAUAACUUCGGGAAACCGGAGCUAAUACCGGAUGAUAUUUUGAACCGCAUGGUUCAAAAGUGAAAGACGUUCUUGCUGUCACUUAUAGAUGGAUCCGCGCUGCAUUAGCUAGUUUGUAAGGUAACGGCUUACCAAGGCAACGAUGCAUAACCGACCUGAGAGGAUGAUCAGGCACACUGGAACUGAGACACGGUCCAGACUCCUACGGGAGGCAGCAGUGGGGAAUAUUGGACAAUGGGCGAAAGCCUGAUCCAGCCAUGCCGCGUGUGUGAAGAAGGUCUUCGGAUUGUAAAACUCUGUUAGUGGGGAAGAACAGCAGUGAAAUAAUAUCUGCCCGUCUUGACGGUACCUAAAGAAAAAGCAACGGCUAACUUCGUG
RNAcentral lists this ribosomal RNA (497 nucleotides) under uncultured bacterium. Its description in RNAcentral is "partial 16S ribosomal RNA". It matches the Rfam family "Bacterial small subunit ribosomal RNA", at positions 28 to 507 of the family's 1533-position model. The record is from RNAcentral.